CGCAGGAUAGAGAAGUGGUUUCUUUCUGGUUUCCUUAGCCAGAGACGGUGGUUCAAAUCCACCUCCUGCAA
This 71-nucleotide transfer RNA is filed under the name Caudoviricetes sp. RNAcentral's name for it is "tRNA-Arg". It matches the Rfam family "tRNA". Rfam says of the family: Transfer RNA (tRNA) molecules are approximately 80 nucleotides in length. Their secondary structure includes four short double-helical elements and three loops (D, anti-codon, and T loops). Lineage: Duplodnaviria; Heunggongvirae; Uroviricota; Caudoviricetes. The record is from RNAcentral.